AUCCUAUUAGCUCAAUUGGUAGAGCCAUGUACAACUGCACAAUGAUAUAGGUUCGAAUCCUAUAUAGGCUA
This 71-nucleotide transfer RNA is filed under the name Spinacia oleracea (spinach). It matches the Rfam family "tRNA". From Rfam's summary of the family: Transfer RNA (tRNA) molecules are approximately 80 nucleotides in length. Lineage: Eukaryota; Viridiplantae; Streptophyta; Magnoliopsida; Caryophyllales; Amaranthaceae. The record is from Rfam by way of RNAcentral.